GCCGUAGAAGCGGGUUACUUCGAUUGGUAAUCGAGAGGUCGCGGGUUCGAAUCCCGUUGGGGGCG
This 65-nucleotide transfer RNA is filed under the name Fibrella aestuarina BUZ 2. RNAcentral describes it as "tRNA-Ser (CGA) (tRNA-Ser-CGA-1-1)". The record is from RNAcentral. Lineage: Bacteria; Pseudomonadati; Bacteroidota; Cytophagia; Cytophagales; Spirosomataceae.